CAGUCGCCACGGUAAUACGAAGGGUGCAAGCGUUACUCGGAAUUACUGGGCGUAAAGCGUGCGUAGGUGGUGGUUUAAGUCCGUUGUGAAAGCCCUGGGCUCAACCUGGGAAUUGCAGUGGAUACUGGGUCACUAGAGUGUGGUAGAGGAUAGUGGAAUUUCCGGUGUAGCAGUGAAAUGCGUAGAGAUCGGAAGCAACAUCUGUGGCGAAGGCGACUAUCUGGGCCAACACUGACACUGAGGCACGAAAGCGUGGGGAGCAAACAGGAUUAGAUACCCCCGUAGUCCCUGUCUCUUAUAC
Molecule: ribosomal RNA, 301 nt
Filed under: uncultured bacterium
Lineage: Bacteria
Description: partial 16S ribosomal RNA
Rfam family: Bacterial small subunit ribosomal RNA
Source: RNAcentral